GCGAUCGUGGCGAAGUGGUUAACGCAUCGGUUUGUGGUACCGACAUUCGAGGGUUCAAUUCCCUUCGGUCGCCCCA
This 76-nucleotide transfer RNA is filed under the name Paenibacillaceae bacterium. RNAcentral describes it as "tRNA-His". It matches the Rfam family "tRNA". From Rfam's summary of the family: Transfer RNA (tRNA) molecules are approximately 80 nucleotides in length. Lineage: Bacteria; Bacillati; Bacillota; Bacilli; Caryophanales; Paenibacillaceae. The record is from RNAcentral.